Molecule: small nuclear RNA, 109 nt
Organism: Trichechus manatus latirostris (Florida manatee)
Lineage: Eukaryota; Metazoa; Chordata; Mammalia; Sirenia; Trichechidae
Source: RefSeq, a predicted model, not a curated record
GGGUGCUUGCUUCCGCAACCCAUAUAUGAAAAUUUGAAUGAUGCAGAGAAGACUAGCAUGACCCCUGCACAAGGUGGACAUGCAAAUUCAUGAAGCAUUCCAUAUUAAA